This is a non-coding RNA of Podarcis lilfordi (Lilford's wall lizard), 3070 nucleotides long. The record is from the annotation of a GenBank genome assembly. NCBI's taxonomy places the organism in Eukaryota, Metazoa, Chordata, Lepidosauria, Squamata, Lacertidae.
GAGGAGUGGUUUCCUACGUGGAAUUCACAUGACAAGACCAUUAAUAGGGCUGGCAUCAUACUGUUGGAGUUUACCAUUAACUGCGGGCUGCACAGCUUGCAUGGUACACCCAAAGACUGGUCCGGGGGAUACUAUACUUUUCUAGGAUCUAGAGGGGCAAGCGUUAUAGAUUAUAUCUGGUCCUUUUCGGCACUUAAUGAUAAGGCAUAUUGUUUCAAUGUGUUCAACAGAACCGAAAGUGACCACCUUCCUAUUGCCAUCUCCUUCCACCACACACAGCUGGGGCUCCCCAGCUCACUCCCCCACCAGGAUUCACUGACCUUAGCCCCGGUCGUAAGAAGUGGGAUAUCUAUUUGGAGCAAGACAUAAAAGUCCUCCUAAAUUCCCCUGAGAUCCUAGCCCUGAAAGCUCAGCUGGUAACAAUGAAUGUGAAUCAUUUCUCAAGUUUCCAACAAAUUCUAGCCUACUUGCUCCCAACACUUACGAAACCCUCCCGUGCGAGUCUAACCUGGAAGAAUCAAACUUGGUUCGACCAAGAAUGCAAACAGUGCAGAAGUAGGCUUAGAUUUCUUCAGUCUGAUAUGAAAUCAGACAGCACCCAGAGCAAAAUCAGGGAGUUAGCCCAAUUCCGUUCUUACUACAAGAAGUUGCUCCAACAUAAGAAAUUGAUCUUUGCGAAAGAACGCUGGACGGCAUUGUCAGUGGCCAUUAAAACCCGUGACGACAAGAAAUUCUGGAAUUUAAUUAAUGCAGGUUUAAGACCCCCCUCAUUCAUCGUUAAUAACAUCACAGCAGCCAGUUGGCACUCUCACUUUGCUCAGCUGUAUUCUGCCCCAGAUUCCGACGUAAACGCAGUUUCCACUCUUCCUGCAUCUCCCUUGCCCACCUGGGAGCCAGUCUCCCCAGAGAGAUGUGUACAACUAAUUAGCAUGUUAUCAGGGGAUAAAUCCCCGGGGGAGGAUAUGAUUCCACCCGAGGUAUUCUUAUCGAACCAGAUGUGGUGGGCCCCUAUUUUUGCAUCUCUCUUUACCACUAUUAAUGCCACUCUUAAGAUCCCGCCAAAUUGGAAACAGAGCAUAGUCAUCCCAAUACAUAAAAAGGGGGACCCACAAGAUCCGCGUAACUAUCGACCCAUCAGCCUGCUAGACAUAUCAUACAAGGUUUACUCUAGAUUCUUGCUAGAGAAAUUAAUCGAGUGGGCAGAAGAAACAAAGCUAUUCCACCCGGAACAGGCUGGCUUCCGUAAAGGUCACAGUACAUCUGGCCAAUGUCUUGUUCUAUUUACCCUGAUUGAUAAAUACCUAAACAGGUUUAACUGCAAACUACACGCGGCUUUUGUGGACCUGACCGCCGCUUUUGACUCCAUUCCCAGAGAUAGGCUAUGGCAGAAGCUUAGUUACACCAACAUAGAUAAGAGACUCCUCCUUCUUCUUAUGGAAAUUCAUAAUGACAUAUCGGCCAGAGUAAAAUUCGGCCCCCUGGGAGCUCUUUCUGAUUCUUUCCCUCUGAAUAAAGGGGUCAAACAGGGCUGCCUCUUGGCCCCUUUUCUAUUCAAUUUCUAUAUCAACGACAUCGUUACAACUAUGCAGGCCCUAAAUCAAUCUGCCCCCUCUCUACAACAGCUCAAGAUCCCCAUAUUACUCUAUGCGGACGACAUGGUGAUACUGUCUUUAACCAAGCAGGGCUUAAACAACAUGCUCAGAGGGCUCAUGACAUAUUGUGAUACCAAUUCCCUCAAAAUCAAUUUCGCCAAAACCAAAAUUCUUACUUUUGGCACGAAAACUCGGAAGUCAUUCUGGAACUUUGAGGGCCACUCUAUUGAAUAUUGCUCAGCUUUCAAGUAUUUGGGAAUCACUUUUCAGCAUGGGCUUAGCUGGUCAGCUCACCUAAAUAUGACCAUCCUGGCUGCCCGUAGAACCAUCAAAGCCUUGGAGAAAUUCUUCUAUGCAAAAGGCGGCCAGUUGGUUCCACCAAUCAGAAAAGCAUUUAUUAGCAAAGUCCUCCCGAUGUUACUGUAUGGGGUUGAAAUCUGGGGGUGGAAUUUAAAAACACUUCAACGGCUGGAGAUUCUACAAAACUCUUUUGUACGAAAGAUACUGGGUCUCCCCAAGGGCUCGGUUGCUGCUCAGUUAAGAACAGAACUGGGCCUCCCCUCCAUUGUUGCGAGAGCCCAUAUUAGAAUUAUUAGUUUUUAUUGCAAAUUAAUCAAUGCCCCAGGUUCCCUACUAGCCAGGCAAGCCUUUUUAACUUGUUCUCACUCCAACAAAUGGUCCAAGGCCAUGGAGACUAUUACUGUACGCUACUCCCUCCCAGAAUUCGACACGUUGUCAUCUUGGGACCAACAUAAAAUCCGGGACUGGAUUCUUAUAAGAGAUGAGGCCAUGGACCGGGCACAGUCCACCUCAGCUCGCCUCUCCAUGUGGCUCCCUAAAGUGAAAGUGGUAAGAUCACUUGCCAACUACUUGAUAGACCUGACGGAGCCCAAUUUGAGAAGAGCGUUUACAAUGGCCCGUUUUCAUUCUAUACCCACGGCCUUCUUGCAGGGGACCUACUCUAAGACCCCUAUUACUCAGCGUCUAUGUCCAUGCACAAUGAAUGAAGUAGAGGACUUCAUACAUUUCUUUUUCUACUGCCCUAUUUAUGACCCAAUAAGACCUAAGCUCCUCCUCUUGAUCCCGUCCUCCAUUUCAUCUAAGGAAGACUGUCUGAAAGCACUUCUUGUGGACGCAAAUCCCCAAAUUUCACGUGGGGUGGCAAUCUUCAUAGUGCAGGCUCUGAAACUCAGGGCUACUCUGACAGGGUAGUGUGCCCUAGUCCUGGACCUGUUUAAUUCUUUUAUUACCUUCUUAACUCAAUGUGCUGAGCCUAUUUUGGGGCCAUUUUAUGUUUUAUUUAUAUCCGCAUACUAGUUUUUUGGUGCUGGCAACCAAAUCUUUGUAUUAUUGUCUUAGGGUGUUUUAAAUGUCAUUACGCCAGCAAUAUCGCUUUGAAUUUUGCUUGGUUGCUUGUCCCCAACAUUUUUGUAUUGUCUUAUUUUGCUAUGGCUGUAUGCUAAUGCAAUUAAAUUAAA